This 327-nucleotide ribosomal RNA is filed under the name Hepatozoon felis. RNAcentral's name for it is "partial small subunit ribosomal RNA". It matches the Rfam family "Eukaryotic small subunit ribosomal RNA", at positions 567 to 892 of the family's 1831-position model. Lineage: Eukaryota; Apicomplexa; Hepatozoidae. The record is from RNAcentral.
CCAGCAGCCGCGGUAAUUCCAGCUCCAAUAGCGUAUAUUAAAAUUGUUGCAGUUAAAAAGCUCGUAGUUGAAUUUCUGUUAAAAAUAACCGGUCUGCUUUUAAUAAAAGUGGUAUCUUGGUGUGUUUUUAGCAAUAAUGUCCUUUGAAAUGUUUUUUACUUUAUUGUAAUAAAUAAUAUUCAGGAUUUUUACUUUGAGAAAAUUAGAGUGUUUCUAGCAGGCUAACGCUUUGAAUACUGCAGCAUGGAAUAAUAAAAUAGGAUUUUAGUUCUACAUUAUUGGUUUUAAGAACUAAAUUAAUGAUUGAUAGGGACAGUUGGGGGCAUU